This 406-nucleotide ribosomal RNA is filed under the name uncultured bacterium. RNAcentral describes it as "partial 16S ribosomal RNA". It matches the Rfam family "Bacterial small subunit ribosomal RNA", at positions 30 to 526 of the family's 1533-position model. The record is from RNAcentral.
AUUGAACGCUGGCGGCAGGCUUAACACAUGCAAGUCGAACGAGUGGCGGACGGGUGAGUAAUGCUUGGGAAUCUGACUUAUGGAGGGGGAUAACUACGGGAAACUGUAGCUAAUACCGCGUACCAUAGGAUGAGCCCAAGUGGGAUUAGGUAGUAGGUGAGGUAACGGCUCACCUGGGCGACGAUCCGUAGCUGGUCUGAGAGGAUGAUCAGCCACCCGUGGACGAAGACCAGGCCCAACCUCCUCCGUGAGGCAGCAGUGUGUAAUAUUGCACAAUGGGCGCAAGCCUGUUGCAGCCAUGCCGCGUGUGUGAAGAAGGCCUUCGGUUUGUAAAGUACUUUCAGCGGGUAUGCGUUACCCGCAGAAGAAGCACCGGCUAACUCCGUGCCAGCAGCCGCGGUAAUAC